AACAGACUCUCUGCGCCAGUUAUUCAUAUCAGUGUUAUAUAUUUCCCACUGUCGACACCGAUACCCACUGGACUGGUUGCGCUUCUACCUUUUUCAGUGUCCGACCUGCGGAAUGACACACUUGUGCGCUCUCACUGCGCAUGUCAGUCGCUGAUGCGUCGUCAAGUGGGCCGGACGAAGCCAUUUUCCAGAUGGAAAGGGUACAGACUUCCAGUUUACUAAAACGAUGUUAAAGACACACUUAUGUUUUAUGACUAAAUGGACAUGAGGGGAGUAAAAUGCAGGGAAAAAACAGCAACUGAAGAAAUGAAAGUGAAAUAAACUGAAACAACUAGAAAACAAAACCACUCAAAUGAGAGGGAAAUCAGAGGCAUUUGUCCUCCCUCAGCCCCCCCCAAACCCCGUCCAGCGUCAUCUGUAAAUCAGACACUGGUACAAGGAUUGGGAGAGACGGAGAUGGACUGUAAGACAGAUCAAUACUACAGAUUUUAACAUUUGAACUGAAGCCUAGCAAGUUGUCUGGAUAAACACUGACAGAAAAAGUUAGUUAUUAGUCAAAUUAAUAAGCACAAAAUUAACUUGUAUAUGUAAUUAUACAAGAGAGAAAGAGACUUUGAGAGAGAUAAAUUAAAGAUAUCACAGUUUGCAAACAUUACCGUGGAAAGUCCAAACAUUUUCAAGAGUCACAAUGAUGUACAUCAUUAGGAAAUUACAGACAUAGUAUCAGUACAGAAGUUAAAAUAAAAUAUGUAGUUACCACAAAGACCCUCCGAGCAGCAACAUCCUUGUCAUCCAAAGUUGACAAACCCUCAAGCAUUUUCUUAACAAUCAUAUUGCUCCGUGCAGCUAUCUUUCCCUUCUGUGAAGCUUCAUCUGCCCUCUGAUGUCUUACCUCAGAGUGAUUUCCUCUUUAGCUGAGAUGAUUUGCUCUCGAGUCUGCACCCUCCUUCACUUGCUCUCUUCAUCUUGUCUGUCUUUAUUUAGCUCUGCACUCUCUUCUUCCUGCCUC
RNAcentral lists this long non-coding RNA (1009 nucleotides) under Danio rerio (zebrafish). RNAcentral describes it as "si:ch73-367p23.6 (ENSDARG00000096315.3)". The record is from RNAcentral. Lineage: Eukaryota; Metazoa; Chordata; Actinopteri; Cypriniformes; Danionidae.